Molecule: ribosomal RNA, 337 nt
Filed under: uncultured bacterium FukuS20
Lineage: Bacteria; Pseudomonadati; Bacteroidota
Description: bacterial SSU rRNA
Rfam family: Bacterial small subunit ribosomal RNA
Source: RNAcentral
AGAGUUUGAUCCUGGCUCAGGAUGAACGCUAGCGGCAGGCUUAAUACAUGCAAGUCGUGGGGCAGCAUGAGUAGCAAUACUUGAUGGCGACCGGCAAACGGGUGCGGAACACGUACACAACCUUCCUAUAAGUGGGGAAUAGCCCAGAGAAAUUUGGAUUAAUACCCCGUAACAUAACGAUAUGGCAUCAUAUUGUUAUUAUAGCUUCGGCGCUUAUUGAUGGGUGUGCGGCUGAUUAGAUAGUUGGCGGGGUAACGGCCCACCAAGUCUACGAUCAGUAKCUGAUGUGAGAGCAUGAUCAGYCACACGGGCACUGAGACACGGGCCCGACUYCUAC